RNAcentral lists this ribosomal RNA (377 nucleotides) under uncultured bacterium. RNAcentral describes it as "bacterial SSU rRNA". It matches the Rfam family "Bacterial small subunit ribosomal RNA", at positions 521 to 896 of the family's 1533-position model. The record is from RNAcentral.
UAAUACGUGAUCCUCAAGCGUUAUCCGGAUUUAUUGGGCGUAAAGCGUUCGUAGGCGGCGAGAUAAGUUUUUGGUUAAAGCCCACGGCUUAACUGUGGAAAUGCCAAGAAUACUAUCUUGCUAGAGGGCAUUAGGGGCUGAUGGAACGGUCGGUGUAGGGGUGAAAUCCGUUGAUAUCGACCGGAACACCAAAAGCGAAGGCAUUCAGCUGGGAUGACCCUGACGCUGAGGAACGAAAGCGUGGGUAGCAAAAAGGAUUAGAUACCCUUGUAGUCCACGCUGUAAAUGAUGGACACUAGCUAUUUGAAGUGUCGACCCUUCAAGUGGCGAAGCUAACGCGUUAAGUGUCCCGCCUGGGAAGUACGGCCGCAAGGCUA